This 375-nucleotide ribosomal RNA is filed under the name uncultured bacterium. RNAcentral describes it as "bacterial SSU rRNA". It matches the Rfam family "Bacterial small subunit ribosomal RNA", at positions 28 to 404 of the family's 1533-position model. The record is from RNAcentral.
GACGAACGCUGGCGGCGUGCUUAACACAUGCAAGUCGAGCGGUAAGGCCCUUUCGGGGGUACACGAGCGGCGAACGGGUGAGUAACACGUGGGUGACCUGCCCUCAGCUCUGGGAUAAGCCUGGGAAACCGGGUCUAAUACCGGAUAUGACUCCAUGACGCAUGUUGUGGGGUGGAAAGCCUUGUGCGGCUGAGGAUGGGCCCGCGGCCUAUCAGCUUGUUGGUGGGGUGAUGGCCUACCAAGGCGACGACGGGUAGCCGGCCUGAGAGGGCGACCGGCCACACUGGGACUGAGACACGGCCCAGACUCCUACGGGAGGCAGCAGUGGGGAAUCUUGCGCAAUGGGCGAAAGCCUGACGCAUCGACGCCGCGUGA